GGAGUUAGCCGGUGCUUCUUCUGCGAGUAACGUCACAGAUGUAAGGUAUUAACUUACACCCUUUCCUCCUCGCUGAAAGUGCUUUACAACCCGAAGGCCUUCUUCACACACGCGGCAUGGCUGCAUCAGGGUUUCCCCCAUUGUGCAAUAUUCCCCACUGCUGCCUCCCGUAGGAGUCUGGGCCCGUGUCUCAGUCCCAGUGUGGCUGAUCAUCCUCUCAGACCAGCUAGGGAUCGUCGCCUAGGUGAGCCUUUACCUCACCUACUAGCUAAUCCCACCUGGGCUUAUCCAUCAGCGCAAGGCCCGAAGGUCCCCUGCUUUCCCCCGUAGGGCGUAUGCGGUAUUAGCAGUCGUUUCCAACUGUUAUCCCCUACAAACUGGGCAAAUUCCCAGGCCAUUACUCACCCGUCCGCCGCUACGUCAUCUUCAAAGCAAGCUUUUGAAAUGUUACCGCUCGACUUGCAUGUGUUAGGCCUGCCGCCAGCGUUCAAUCUGAGCCAUAAUCAAACUCUGA
This 514-nucleotide ribosomal RNA is filed under the name uncultured bacterium. Its description in RNAcentral is "partial 16S ribosomal RNA". The record is from RNAcentral.